UACGUAGGUGGCAAGCGUUGUCCGGAUUUACUGGGCGUAAAGGGUGCGUAGGCGGGUUUUUAAGUCAGGGGUGAAAUCCUGGAGCUCAACUCCAGAACUGCCUUUGAUACUGAAGAUCUUGAGUCCGGGAGAGGUGAGUGGAACUGCGAGUGUAGAGGUGAAAUUCGUAGAUAUUCGCAAGAACACCAGUGGCGAAGGCGGCUCACUGGCCCGGUACUGACGCUGAGGCACGAAAGCGUGGGGAGCAAACAGG
Molecule: ribosomal RNA, 253 nt
Filed under: uncultured bacterium
Lineage: Bacteria
Description: partial 16S ribosomal RNA
Rfam family: Bacterial small subunit ribosomal RNA
Source: RNAcentral